Molecule: ribosomal RNA, 557 nt
Filed under: uncultured bacterium
Lineage: Bacteria
Description: bacterial SSU rRNA
Rfam family: Bacterial small subunit ribosomal RNA
Source: RNAcentral
AACGCGUGGGUAUCUGCCCUUGGGUACGGAAUAACUCAGAGAAAUUUGUGCUAAUACCGUAUAAUGUCUUCGGACCAAAGAUUUAUCGCCCAAGGAUGAGCCCGCGUAAGAUUAGCUAGUUGGUGGGGUAAAAGCCUACCAAGGCGACGAUCUUUAGCUGGUCUGAGAGGAUGAUCAGCCACACUGGGACUGAGACACGGCCCAGACUCCUACGGGAGGCAGCAGUGGGGAAUAUUGGACAAUGGGCGAAAGCCUGAUCCAGCAAUGCCGCGUGAGUGAUGAAGGCCUUAGGGUUGUAAAGCUCUUUUACCCGGGAUGAUAAUGACAGUACCGGGAGAAUAAGCUCCGGCUAACUCCGUGCCAGCAGCCGCGGUAAUACGGAGGGAGCUAGCGUUGUUCGGAAUUACUGGGCGUAAAGCGCGCGUAGGCGGUCUUUUAAGUCAGAGGUGAAAGCCCGGGGCUCAACCCCGGAAUAGCCUUUGAAACUGGAAGACUUGAAUCUUGGAGAGGUCAGUGGAAUUCCGAGUGUAGAGGUGAAAUUCGUAGAUAUUCGGAAG